Molecule: ribosomal RNA, 468 nt
Filed under: uncultured bacterium
Lineage: Bacteria
Description: partial 16S ribosomal RNA
Rfam family: Bacterial small subunit ribosomal RNA
Source: RNAcentral
GACGAACGCUGGCGGCGUGCUUAACACAUGCAAGUCGAACGGAAAGGCCCUGCUUUUGUGCGGUGCUCGAGUGGCGAACGGGUGAGUAAAACGUGAGUAACCUGCCCUUAACUUUGGGAUAACUUCAGGAGACUGGGGCUAAUACCGGAUAGGAGCUCCUGCUGCGUGGUGGGGGAUGGAGAGUUUCGGCGGUUGGGUCUGGACUCGCGGCUUAUCCGCUUGUUGGUGGGGUAGUGGCUUUCCAAGGGUUUGACGGGUAGCCGGCCUGAGAGGGUGACCGGCCACAUUGGGACUGAGAUACGGCCCAGACGCCUACGGGAGGCAGCAGUGGGGAAUCUUGCACAAUGGGGGGACGUCUGAUGCAGCAACGCCGCGUGCGGAAUGACGGCUUUCGGGUUGUAAACCGCUUUCGCCUGUGACGAAGCGGGCGUGACGGUAAUUGGUAAAGAAGCACCGGCUAACUACGUG